CUUGUUUUGAAAUCUGAAGCUUUCUCUUGUUAUUGGGCAAAAGAUUCAUGCAAGACUUGCUCCUGAGCUAUUGUCCUGACAAGGGAUGUGGAUCCUUAUCACCCUGGUCGGGGUCUGAGUCAGAAAUCAGUUCCAGUUUCCUUGGCAGCCCUGCCAGAGAGUUAGAACAAGCUGUAACAUUUGAGUAGAAAAGGGAUGGAAGACUGUGCUCUUAAUAUUUCCUUAGAAUUUUGGGGUUUUAUUGCUAAUGACCUGACUGCUCAUUUUCAGUGUCAAAGGGAAGUCUUCAAAUUUUUGAACUUUUUCAAUAUCGAUGGCCAGACUUAAACUUGUCUCCUUUUUAUUGGGGCAUGGAGCAAGUUCUUCUUCAAAUACAAAUUCUUUCCUCCGUGGAAGAAAGCCGCGAUAGUCUUGUCAUUCCUACUCUGUGGCAAAGAGCAGCUCCUUUUAAAGCCAUAGCAUCAUUCUGCUAGAAUACAACCUGAGCAUGUCCAUUCAUGGCUACUCAUACUUUCCACUGGGUGGGAUUUCAGAUCUUCAUGUGUUUUCAGGAGUCUCAGAGAAUGAACUGACACACAUUCUUAACAGUUUGGGGGGAGAUACUUGGGAUAGAACUUGUGGUUUUUUUUUUUUUUUUUAGGGUAUAUGUGUAUAUUUUCCUUUCUGCUUUUGUUGUUAACUGUUAACCUAACCCUUAGUUUGGUGGUUAGAGAAGUAAUGGGAAGGGUCUAAAGAAGGCUCAAAUGACAUUCAUCUUUGCUAUAAAUGUGUAGUUUGUUUCCCACAAGACUAGUUAGAAAUAAUCUUGGCAGGAGUUGUGUGUAUCUAAAUAGUAAUUUCUUAAGGAAGCAUAAUAUGUGUAUUUUAAUUGCUGCCAAGAAUUGAGCACAGACAUUUGUUAUACUCAUUUGUCUGUUUGAUGUUUUUCUGAAGAGGAAAAUGCAGGGGAGGUAGAGCCUAUUGAAAAUUAGCUUUCUGGAGGGGGACAACCAGGGUAAUGAGAGUAACAACAGCUCACUUUUGCCAAGCCCUUACUAUCAUUAUUCUGAUAAUAAUUUAUUAGCUCUUGCUAUUAGUGAUCUCUUUUUUUUAAAAAAAAAAACUUGCCCUCUUUAAUGCUUAAAAAAACACUAAAAUGCACAUAUGGGACUAUAUCGUACAGAUCAGAAUCAUUGGAAUCAGUGUCUUUCAUGAAAAUGUUAUGUAUGAAGCUAUAACCAGUGUUACCUGGUUUGUCCUCUACCUUUUACAACUCUGUUUCUCAGAGGGUGCAAUAAAGGUACAAAGGAGAUCAAAACAGGAUUCCUGUUUCUUUGAAGAGCACUACUUCUUCCACCCAAAGAAGUAAGUUACUUAGGAAAGAAGGAUGGAAUAGACUACUCUUCCUGUUCCCACUUUCAGGGAGACCUCCUAAGACAUGAAGGGGGCAAAAUAAGAUUGCAAAAUAAAAAUUCACAUUAGGGAUGGAUUCAAAUGGUAGUUGGUUAAAACAGGGUAGUAUCUUUCCCACAGAUUUGUAUUCCAACAUAUAUCACAUACUUUACUGGGAGCAUCUUUAACUUAAGCAGUAAAAGAGCAAUCCAGCUGGGAGCUAGGGCAGUGUUUUUCAAACUUGACUCUUAGAGGUGCUUUAGAAGUUGUGAAUAUUUUUGGUUUAAAUCUAUCUAUCUAUCUAUCUAUC
Molecule: long non-coding RNA, 1681 nt
Filed under: Marmota monax (woodchuck)
Lineage: Eukaryota; Metazoa; Chordata; Mammalia; Rodentia; Sciuridae
Source: RNAcentral